CACUCACCAGAUGAGAUCUGUUGCUAACCACACCUUUUAGGAGUUAGGGUUCAAAAACAGGUACCAAAAAACUUGUAUUUAUAAAUAACAAGGAUCCAAGUGGGAGCUGAUUAUUUUUUUCUUCCUUUCACCUUUAACAUUUUUUCAUAUUUUUAUUUUUUGUUAAUUUAUACUUUGAAGGUGCAUAUAAAGAAAAGAAACACUUUCAAUAAUUUCAGAAAAUCAUUCUCAGACCUGAAGAUAAUAUUUAUUUACUGAACACUAAACUAGGCAAUUAAGAAAGACAAUUAAUUAAGGAAUGCAGAGAGCUUUAUAGGUUAAAUAGUUCUUGUCUCUGUUUUAACACCAAGUGGAAGCUCUUUAAGUUUUAUCUGAAAUCUUAGAAUCAAAGAAAAAUAGAAAUAUAAAGCCUGUCCUCGUUUUUGAAAUGGAUGCAUUCCUAACAUGUAUAACUUACUUUUGUGAAUCAAAUAUGUUUCCCCAUUAAUUAAAGAAGCUCAAUAUUCAUAUUUUAAAAGUUGAAUACUUAUGUAAUGUGAAUAAUUAUAUUUACAUAUAUCUUGUUUAUAAAUUUUAAUGUGUUUUCUUAAAUUGCUAUAGUCUGGUAGCUUUAUUAAUUCUCAUGUAGACAAACAAACAAGACUGCUUGAGAUAGAGUAUAUUUUUCACUAUCAUAUUAUUCGGUGUUACAUGUAUUGUUAAUAUGAUAGGAGAUAAGGAAAAUAAUUUUGGCAUUUAUCUUCACAUUGCAUAAACACUGAGGAAAUUGAAACUGGGGAAGUUCUGAUUAAAAUGAGAACUUGUAAUCAACAGUAACCAACGUCUGAGGAAUGAAGUUUCCUUUUCAUAUGUUCAACCAGAGGAAAGAAAUGCCCCGACGACUUAACAACACUCUUAGACCUCAUCUUAUCUUAGCUUUAAUCAAAACUGAAGAUAUUGGCUCAAGUAGAAAAAAAAAAGAAAGAAGCACAUUUUAAUUGAUUAAUCAGUGUAUGUGCCACCUCAGCUCCAACAUGCCAAAUUACUCCUUUCAACAACUGUUCUGCAUGUACAUGCUGGGUACCCUGCAAGGUGAUGGGGGAGAACAAUGAACUCCAAGACUGUGGUACAUAUGAAAGUGGUUUAGAGGAAGGGGUCUGGACCAGGCUGCUUGGAUUUCAACUUCAGUUAUGCUACUUUCCUGCCAUGUGAUGUUAGGUAAUUUACUUAGCAUCUCUGGACCUCAGAUGCAUCGUCUGUCAAACAGUGAUAGUAAGAGUUCCUCAUAGCAUUGUGUAAGAAAUAAAGAUAACAGUAAUUUUUAGAUAACAUUCAUCCCACUGGACAAAGAAGAAAUUUAAAUAGAAUUAAUAGUAUAUUACAAAUAUGAUAUGUGUCAAGAGAAAGAAUUACAGGAUUUUUUAGUGUUCAAGAGAAUAAGUUUAUUAUAACAAGCAUUCUUGCUAUUUAGAGGAGAGAACAUGAUAUCAUUUCAUUUUUUUUUUCUUUUAUUGGAUUUUAGGUUUUGGGGUACAUGAGCAGAGUAUGCAUGACAGUUGCGUAGAUACACACAUGGCAGUGUGCUUUGCUUUUCUUCUCCCCUUCACCCACAUUUGGCAUUUCUCCCCAGGCUAUCCCCC
Molecule: long non-coding RNA, 1619 nt
Organism: Callithrix jacchus (white-tufted-ear marmoset)
Lineage: Eukaryota; Metazoa; Chordata; Mammalia; Primates; Cebidae
Source: Ensembl